CCUACGGGAGGCAGCAGUGGGGAAUUUUGGACAAUGGGCGCAAGCCUGAUCCAGCCAUUCCGCGUGCAGGACGAAGGCCUUCGGGUUGUAAACUGCUUUUGUACGGAACGAAAAGGCUCUGGUUAAUACCUGGGGCUCAUGACGGUACCGUAAGAAUAAGCACCGGCUAACUACGUGCCAGCAGCCGCGGUAAU
Molecule: ribosomal RNA, 194 nt
Filed under: uncultured bacterium
Lineage: Bacteria
Description: partial 16S ribosomal RNA
Rfam family: Bacterial small subunit ribosomal RNA
Source: RNAcentral